Molecule: transfer RNA, 62 nt
Filed under: Medicago truncatula (barrel medic)
Lineage: Eukaryota; Viridiplantae; Streptophyta; Magnoliopsida; Fabales; Fabaceae
Rfam family: tRNA
About the family: Transfer RNA (tRNA) molecules are approximately 80 nucleotides in length. Their secondary structure includes four short double-helical elements and three loops (D, anti-codon, and T loops).
Source: Rfam by way of RNAcentral
AUGACACAGUCUGGUCAGUGCAUCUGUUUUGGGUACAGAGGGCCAUAGGUUCGAAUCCUGUU